CCAUGCUAUGCCCUAGGGUAUAGUAGCUGGCCGCUAAAAUUAUUAGCACGUAUUAAUAGACGAUGCGUGUGCCAUGCUGUACUACAGCUACAACUUAGGGAAACCUAACACAGCAGGUUAAACCAGCAGUUGAUGCUCAUUCAGAACCCGAAUAAAUGGGAGACACCUGUCUGCACACCUGUCUGGCACAGUACGUCGUAAUCUUUGGGUAAGGUGUAAUUAGGAGGCUCCCGGUAGAUGUGUUACAACACAUCCU
Molecule: long non-coding RNA, 256 nt
Filed under: Volvox carteri
Lineage: Eukaryota; Viridiplantae; Chlorophyta; Chlorophyceae; Chlamydomonadales; Volvocaceae
Description: long non-coding RNA (VCAR_LNC002680)
Source: RNAcentral